RNAcentral lists this ribosomal RNA (465 nucleotides) under Vreelandella stevensii. Its description in RNAcentral is "partial 16S ribosomal RNA". It matches the Rfam family "Bacterial small subunit ribosomal RNA", at positions 338 to 795 of the family's 1533-position model. The record is from RNAcentral. Lineage: Bacteria; Pseudomonadati; Pseudomonadota; Gammaproteobacteria; Oceanospirillales; Halomonadaceae.
CCUACGGGGGUCUGCAGUGGGGAAUAUUGGACAAUGGGCGAAAGCCUGAUCCAGCCAUGCCGCGUGUGUGAAGAAGGCCUUCGGGUUGUAAAGCACUUUCAGUGGGGAAGAAAGCCUUGGGGCUAAUACCCUCGAGGAAGGACAUCACCCACAGAAGAAGCACCGGCUAACUCCGUGCCAGCAGCCGCGGUAAUACGGAGGGUGCGAGCGUUAAUCGGAAUUACUGGGCGUAAAGCGCGCGUAGGCGGUCUGAUAAGCCGGUUGUGAAAGCCCCGGGCUCAACCUGGGAACGGCAUCCGGAACUGUCAGGCUAGAGUGCAGGAGAGGAAGGUAGAAUUCCCGGUGUAGCGGUGAAAUGCGUAGAGAUCGGGAGGAAUACCAGUGGCGAAGGCGGCCUUCUGGACUGACACUGACGCUGAGGUGCGAAAGCGUGGGUAGCAAACAGGAUUAGAUACCCUGGUAGUC